Panthera uncia (snow leopard) is the source of this 1010-nucleotide long non-coding RNA. RefSeq lists it as uncharacterized. The record is from RefSeq and is a predicted model, not a curated record. The transcript is spliced from 5 exons. NCBI's taxonomy places the organism in Eukaryota, Metazoa, Chordata, Mammalia, Carnivora, Felidae.
CCGGUUACUUUUCCAGCUACCUCCUGUGAUGUCAUAUUCAGAGGAGCGUCGCAUCCCCUCUGUCCCUGCCUCAGCGUGGAGCCAGCCAUAUUGUUUUCAGUGCUCUCCCACUUGGCUCUAUCCAGGCAUGGCAUACAGACCAUCCGCCCACCCUACAAGGCCCUAAUAAACCCCAUCCCCUUACCACCUGCUUGGAAGAUUUGGAAAUUUAUGAAUUUGCCUUGAAAAAGUAGGGGAAUUUGAUGGUUGCUGUUCCACUAUAUAAAAGUGUCAUUGUUUGGUUAUGCAUUUACCAGGUGAUGGACAUAAACACCCUCACAGACACUUUGAAAUAAUGUUUUACUAGAUAUCUGGGCCUCCCUUAGCUUGAUCAAUCUGGCAUGUAAAAUGAGCCAUCACAAAUGGGAACUCAAAAGAAGAUAGGGAUCUGCGGCAUCCUGGGUGCCUGGAACAUCGGCACACAGCACUGGGUUAGAUUGCAAUUCCUGGUCCUUCCAACAAAAGUGACAUGUAUCACCUCCAAGAGAAGCAUUUCAUUGCCCAUGUGAGGCACUCCAGCACCCCCUCUUCCUCUUUGGGAGUUGCGAAGGCAAGUGCUGCCAUGCAUACUAGACCAUCCUGGACUCUGGGUGACCAUGAAAAAUGCUCCUCCAUUUUCCCCCAAAGAGACCAUCAGGAUUCCAUCCUCUGCCCAUCCAAUCUGUGUGGGGAUGUGCCAUCUUCUGGCUCCAGGAAUGGGUAGAUUAGGAGAGCCAAGUACAGGAUAGUAUAUCAUCCUUUAGAAAUCGGGGCGUCCACAGUUCAAGUCUGCUAAUGAGCAUCAGGCCCAGGACUCCUACUGCAACAUUUAUCAAAGAGAUGUAUCUCUCCACCAGGGUUGUCAGGCUGAUAGGACAUGUGUCUAAUGCUGCUAGUGGCUAUCUUGCUACCAACUCGAAAAAGCUUGACAUAUAUCAAAACUAAUACACAAAAAGCCCAAAAUCAAGAAUUAAAGAGAAAUUGAUGCUGGA